RNAcentral lists this ribosomal RNA (292 nucleotides) under uncultured bacterium. Its description in RNAcentral is "partial 16S ribosomal RNA". It matches the Rfam family "Bacterial small subunit ribosomal RNA", at positions 505 to 796 of the family's 1533-position model. The record is from RNAcentral.
GUGUCAGCAGCCGCGGUAAUACGGAGGGUGCAAGCGUUGUCCGGAUUUAUUGGGUUUAAAGGGUGCGUAGGCGGCCCUGUAAGUCAGCGGUGAAAUCCCAGGGCUCAACCCUGGAACUGCCGUUGAUACUGCAGGGCUUGAGUUCGGUUAAGGCGGGCGGAACUGGUGGUGUAGCGGUGAAAUGCAUAGAUACCACCAAGAACCCCGAUUGCGUAGGCAGCUCGCUGAGCCGAAACUGACGCUGAGGCACGAAAGCGUGGGGAGCGAACAGGAUUAGAAACCCCUGUAGUCC